GGCGGCGUAGCUCAGCUGGCUAGAGCGUACGGUUCAUACCCGUAAGGUCGGGGGUUCGAUCCCCUCUGCCGCCAC
Molecule: transfer RNA, 75 nt
Filed under: Planococcus massiliensis
Lineage: Bacteria; Bacillati; Bacillota; Bacilli; Caryophanales; Caryophanaceae
Also listed under: 1 other name
Description: tRNA-Met
Rfam family: tRNA
About the family: Transfer RNA (tRNA) molecules are approximately 80 nucleotides in length.
Source: RNAcentral